Non-coding RNA from Acanthosepion pharaonis, 91 nucleotides. The record is from the annotation of a GenBank genome assembly. NCBI's taxonomy places the organism in Eukaryota, Metazoa, Mollusca, Cephalopoda, Sepiida, Sepiidae.
GUUGAAACACCGUUUCCCUUAUGAUUACCGAAGUUAAGCAACGGCGAUCCUGGUCAGUACCUAGAUGAGUGACGGCUUGGGAAUAUCAGGU